GGAUCUGAGGGUGAUGUGGCUGCUACAUCUGUCACCCCACUGAUCACCAGGGUUGACUCAGCUGAUCUGGCUGUCUAGGUGGGUGUCCCCUUCCUCCCCCGAUGCUCUGUGUGCAUCCCUCCAGAAGCUCCAUGUUCCUUCAAAGAGGAUGACCUUCCCCCAUAGAAGAGGACCAUUUUGGGGUCAAGAGUAUACCUGUAGCUACACUCCCUUGCUAGAACCUGCAAACAAGCUCUCCAGGUCAUUUGUAGGAGGACAUAGGUUAGCCAAGCUUUCAUGGCUCCAGACCUUUCUUUUAAAAAAAAAUUAAGA
Ursus americanus (American black bear) is the source of this 312-nucleotide unclassified non-coding RNA. Its record names the gene 7SK. It matches the Rfam family "7SK RNA". Rfam says of the family: 7SK was discovered as an abundant small nuclear RNA in the mid-70s but a possible function has only recently been suggested. Two independent studies have found that 7SK RNA binds the CDK9/cyclin T complex (known as elongation factor P-TEFb). P-TEFb activates transcription by phosphorylating the C-terminal domain of RNA polymerase II. NCBI's taxonomy places the organism in Eukaryota, Metazoa, Chordata, Mammalia, Carnivora, Ursidae. The record is from Ensembl.